RNAcentral lists this ribosomal RNA (468 nucleotides) under uncultured bacterium. RNAcentral's name for it is "partial 16S ribosomal RNA". It matches the Rfam family "Bacterial small subunit ribosomal RNA", at positions 28 to 507 of the family's 1533-position model. The record is from RNAcentral.
GAUGAACGCUGGCGGCGUGCUUAACACAUGCAAGUCGAACGGUGAAGGCGGAGCUUGCUCUGCUGGAUCAGUGGCGAACGGGUGAGUAACACGUGAGCAAUCUGCCCCUGACUCUGGGAUAAGCGCUGGAAACGGCGUCUAAUACUGGAUACGAGCUGCGAAGGCAUCUUCAGCAGCUGGAAAGAAUUUCGGUCAGGGAUGAGCUCGCGGCCUAUCAGCUUGUUGGUGAGGUAAUGGCUCACCAAGGCGUCGACGGGUAGCCGGCCUGAGAGGGUGACCGGCCACACUGGGACUGAGACACGGCCCAGACUCCUACGGGAGGGAGCAGUGGAGAAUAUUGCACAAUGGGCGAAGGCCUGAUGCAGCAACGCCGCGUGGGGGACGACGGCCUUCGGGUUGUAAACCUCUUUUAGCAGGGAAGAAGCGAAAGUGACGGUACCUGCAGAAAAAGCGCCGGCUAACUACGUG